RNAcentral lists this ribosomal RNA (466 nucleotides) under uncultured bacterium. RNAcentral's name for it is "partial 16S ribosomal RNA". It matches the Rfam family "Bacterial small subunit ribosomal RNA", at positions 28 to 507 of the family's 1533-position model. The record is from RNAcentral.
GACGAACGCUGGCGGCGUGCUUAACACAUGCCAGUCGAACGGAAAGGCCCUGCUUGCAGGGUACUCGAGUGGCGAACGGGUGAGUAACACGUGGGUGAUCUGCCCUGCACUUCGGGAUAAGCUUGGGAAACUGGGUCUAAUACCGGAUAGGAACCAUCUUUAGUGUGGUGGUUGGAAAGUUUUUUCGGUGUAGGAUGAGCUCGCGGCCUAUCAGCUUGUUGGUGGGGUAAUGGCCUACCAAGGCGGCGACGGGUAGCCGGCCUGAGAGGGUGUACGGCCACAUUGGGACUGAGAUACGGCCCAGACUCCUACGGGAGGCAGCAGUGGGGAAUAUUGCACAAUGGGCGCAAGCCUGAUGCAGCGACGCCGCGUGGGGGAUGAAGGCCUUCGGGUUGUAAACUCCUUUCGCUAGGGACGAAGCUUUGUUGUGACGGUACCUAGAUAAGAAGCACCGGCUAACUACGUG